RNAcentral lists this ribosomal RNA (484 nucleotides) under uncultured bacterium. RNAcentral's name for it is "partial 16S ribosomal RNA". It matches the Rfam family "Bacterial small subunit ribosomal RNA", at positions 30 to 507 of the family's 1533-position model. The record is from RNAcentral.
AUUGAACGCUGGCGGCAGGCCUAACACAUGCAAGUCGAGCGGAUGAAGGGAGCUUGCUCCUGGAUUCAGCGGCGGACGGGUGAGUAAUGCCUAGGAAUCUGCCUGGUAGUGGGGGAUAACGUCCGGAAACGGGCGCUAAUACCGCAUACGUCCUGAGGGAGAAAGUGGGGGAUCUUCGGACCUCACGCUAUCAGAUGAGCCUAGGUCGGAUUAUCUAGUUGGUGGGGUAAAGGCCUACCAAGGCGACGAUCCGUAACUGGUCUGAGAGGAUGAUCAGUCACACUGGAACUGAGACGCGGUCCAGACUCCUACGGGAGGCAGCAGUGGGGAAUAUUGGACAAUGGGCGAAAGCCUGAUCCAGCCAUGCCGCGUGUGUGAAGAAGGUCUUCGGAUUGUAAAGCACUUUAAGUUGGGAGGAAGGGCAGUAAGUUAAUACCUUGCUGUUUUGACGUUACCAACAGAAUAAGCACCGGCUAACUUCGUG